CAGGCGCGACCGGCGUCGCGAGUCUCCCAACUCCCGACCACACUGUUCUCUCGUUUUCGCUUCGCAUCGCAUCACAUCGGCGCUCAUUCGGCUCUCGCACGCGAUACCGUCGCGACGUCUCUGACGGGCUGGAUCCCGCCGAGCGCUUCUUUCUUACCUCCGAACCACGGAACCGCAAGUUUUUUCCGAUUUUCAAUAGUGUCCGGGUACAAAGUUAUAAAAAAAAAGUUUUGUUUUCCGUUUCUCUUCUGUUUUAUCGCGUCGAGGACCCGGAUCAUUGGGAGCUGAUUUCUCAUUGUGUUUCAGUGAUUUAAUAACAAAGUGCAACGUGCUCGUUCCACACUCACAAUAAGUAACUGACCAAAAACUGAGAAAAGUUCGUUGGGCAUUAAAUAAUUGAAAACAGAAAACCGAGCGACUAAAAAAUGUUCGUGUUCGAAAAAACGUUUGAAUUCUCCAGUCUGGAGAUCCAAGAUGUUUAGCGAUCGACACCGUAUCGAUUGUCUAUAGAGGAAAUCGGACGCGUCGAGAUCACCAAAAGACAGUUUUAUUUCGAAGUCGCUGACAAGGAUGUUGUCGAAAAAACGAUAAAUCUGGAUCUCGCGAAGCAUGACAAGAAGAACGAGAGUUUUGGCAUAGCCGAAAGUCGUGAAAAUCCUAUAAAUUCGCGACAAAGGGGAUAAAGAAGGAGAGAAAGAUGAACGAAACGAUGGAAGAUAAUUCAACGAUGCUGACGAGCCCCGACACGAUGUCGUAUCGGUGUGGGGCAGGUUUGAAUUCGUUUCAUCAAGAGUACGCGAAGAUGCACGGCUGGGCGAGUCUGUUAGUUUGCAUAUUCGGUUCGAUAGCGAAUAGUUUGAACAUAAUGGUGUUGUCGCGUCGAGAAAUGAGUUCACCGACGAAUGCUAUAUUGACGGGUUUGGCGGUGGCGGAUUUGUUGGUUAUGAUGGAAUACAUACCGUACGCGAGUCACAUGUACCUUUACCACAGGCCUCGAAGGGACACGUACACGUACGGCUGGGCGGUUUUCGUGUUUUUUCAUUCGAUAUUCACGCAGGUUUGUCACACGAUAUCGAUAUGGUUGACGGUGACAUUGGCGAUAUGGCGUUACAUCGCGGUCGCGCAUCCCCAGCGAAAUCGAGAGUGGUGCAGUUUCCGUCGAACGGUCUUUGCGAUCGCAGGAGCGUACGUUAUUUGUCCGCUGAUAUGCCUGCCGGGUUAUUUCACAACGGCGUUGACUUCGAAGGUAGAAAUUCUCGACUCUGAGGGGAGGAGCCCGAACAUGACGAUUUAUAACGCAACGAUCGGGAACGACACGGCGAGCGCGCUCGGUGCCAAUAAAUUCGUAAAUUCGACUCUCUGGUACGUCGAUCUCAGCGAGACCAUGAAAGUCAACAGUUUGCUUAACCUCGCCAAUUUCUGGAUGUACAGUGUCGUCAUCAAACUAAUACCUUGUUUAGCCCUCACGAUCCUCAGCCUCAGGCUCAUCCUCGCUCUCAUGGAAGCUAAAAAACGACGGAAAAUGCUCACGACCGCAACUCUCGUCAGAACCGAUGAGAAAAAUAUCGAUAACAAUCACAGUCUCGACGUCGUAACCAACGGGAAAAAAAGCGUUAAGAAAAAAUCCUCGAGGCUCCUCGACAAAGAGAGACAAACUGACAGAACCACCAGGAUGCUACUCGCCGUACUUUUACUCUUUCUUCUCACUGAAUUCCCACAGGGUGUACUUGGCCUUCUGAGCGUCAUACUCGGCUCUGGCUUCUUCCGCACCUGCUACGUCAAACUAGGAGAGCUGAUGGACAUACUGGCGUUGAUAAACUCUGCGAUAAAUUUCAUCCUCUACUGCGCGAUGAGUCGUCAGUUCAGGACAACCUUCAGUCAGCUUUUCUGCAGAUGGAAGCUCUUCGGUCGUUGGACACCGGUGCCUCGACAUCCGGACAACAACGGCAUAACCGGAACUAAUCACACCGUGACGCAGGUCACUCAGGUCUAGCCCAGGCGUGCCGGACGAACGCUUUGCUAUCCGUUGUAAAAAAUCCUCCGUACACAAGACACACACGCACACACGCGCGCGCCCAUUUGUAGACACAAAAAACGAGAAAGCUCGGAGAUUGUUCGUUGAUCGAGACGCGUUAAAAGCCCGGUAAAAAGCGAUUCGAUUUUUCAAAAUCUUUUCUAUGUCAAUUCGACGACGGAACGAUUCUCCGUCGAUUAUUCAAUGUUUUUUCCUCGCCCACUGACCUUUGAUUUUGAUCUUCAUCUGAAAAUGCAUAGAGACUCGUAUUGACAGACGCGAAGAAAAGCUCGCUGCAGCCGUGCGCACGGGGGGCUUGAUAAUGACGAGAGUUAACAUUUUUAUAACUUUUUUAUUUGACACUCUCGAGUAAACAUAUUUUUAUCGUUUCUCCAGGGAUAAAAGGGCUCCCCGCAGGGUGAGAACGAUAGUGAAACAAAUCGAACUCGUUUUAUUUCCAUUUCCCUUUCGAUAUUGACUCUCUGUCACCCAAUUCUUUCCUCCCGUUUCGUUUUCCUGCUUCGUGUGCUAUACUCGCACAGCAGCAGCAGCAGCAGCAGCCCCUUCCUCCAUACGCUUUUGUUAACUCUGACAUGGAUCACGUACAAUGGAACCGUAACCGUUCAACGCAGCUCAGCGUUACCACCCGCUAACGGUCUAUUAGCGAAAGAGGAGGAUAAAAAAAAAGAAAUAAAAAUAAUAACAAAAAAGAGCGAGGAAAUAAAGCGAGAAAAAGAGAUUGCGAGGCGAUACAACCGAGCGGAAUAUCGGUUUUGACAAACGUUCUUUUUUCCUCGUUUCCUUUACCAGCUCAAUUGUCUUUUGCACGUACCAAAGUAUAUCAUUGCCUCUGAAGAUAUUAAAGCUACUUUUUCCCCCCAAAACUAAUGCCUCCUCUUUUGCUAUCGUAACUUCGCGAAACGUUAUUCUUACUUGGAAUAAAACGACUUCGUUUUUCAUCGAACCCUGCAAAAGUGGAGCCGCUCCAUCACCGAGCUUCCUCCUCUCGAUCAACGACCUUCUGCCGUCAUCUCGUAAACUUGUCACACUCAGUCAAUCAACGACGAACGCACAUGUAUAAAUACGCACCAAGCUCUCGAGAGAUUCAACACUUUUAGUACUUAUAACGAAAUAACAGAUUAACGAUUUGUUUUAUAAUCGUUGGUCCGUCGUGGGGUUAAGAGACCGAUAAAAGGGAAGAAAUUAUGAAUCUGGCAUUUUCUCUGUUAGCGUACCGCUUCGAGUUUCUGAAAAACACGCAAACCGAAAAAUUAUGAUGAAUUUCACGUGAGGAGGAUAGCAAAAUGUUCGCCGGCGGUUCGUCCAAUUAUCUCGCUGGUCAAAUAUUUUAUUCCAUAGAAAUAUAUUUGAAAAUAAUCAUAAUUAUCAUCAAUAAUUGGUAAAUUAACGGAUACUAUUUGUACAGAAAUUGUUAAUAAUACGAAAAGAAGGAAAUAAGUGAAAAAUAUUGGGAUUCGGAGCCGUCAAAAUACUGUUGCAUCAGCAAUGAAUAAAAUAUUUUUUAAAUUGAAAGAUAAAAAUGAGAUUGGCCAUCAUGAUCGAUGGAAAAACGUGUUGGAAAUAACUCGGUGAUCUGUACAUUGAAUAAGGGGAAUUGGUAAUUAUUUUUGUCGUUACGAUUAUGGAGAGUACAGCGAGUGUAAAGUAUUCGGAGAAUAUUUGUCGACGAAACGAAGAAUUCGGUCGAUUUGUCUUCUAAUUAUAAAACUGUCGAUAUUUCCGGUUGGAAAUUCACGAAGGUAGGGAAUUGGUGUUAGACGAAGCAUUUGCAAAUCGAUUGAAAAAUGUGAUUUCUUCAUUUUUCGUAUUAGGUGGAAUGAAAUUUGAUGUUGAAUGGUGGAUUUGUGCGAGUCACGUCUUUGAGGAAGAGUCUUUUCUUAAAGUUUUUUAUUUCUCGCCUCGCUUACGCUCCCGUUCUCGGGCCAAUGCAUUCUCGCUACAAAGCUCAAUCUUUAUGGGGGCGAGGGGAGGGCUACGAUAAGCACUUUUAUAUCCGAGUACCGAGAUCCCAAAGUACGGGCCCGACCGUAAAAGCACAUGCGUCAUUCCAUCGGCUCCUUUUUGCUACGACACGCAGGUUAAGCUUUUAUUCGCGUUCUCGGUAACGUCAAGCGUCCUCGCGAAAAAUCUUUCUUCAGGAUCGAAAGAGAGAUCCACCCUCGCACGAAACUCCUGCGGAUUGACGGACUAAUCUCCCUUCCGUUCGAGUCCUCCUAUUAUGCACGCAUUACGUAAUACAGACAGUAAUAACAAAAGAUGAUAAAAGGAGGAUAGAAAAGAAAUAAAAAUAAAUGAGAAUCGGGAAAAGCUGCUGCUGCUGCUGCUGCUGCUUUGAAGAUUUACCAGGAACGCGUUACGCAACUAGUUCCGACUCAAAGUAUACAAAUAAGUUUUAACUGAGACUGUGCUCCAGUCACGUGACUAAGGCCAACGAGAUAGACCCACGUUUUCCCAUUUUCUCGUUAAACCCCCUCCCCCACUGGGAUCAUAAAGUUUCAUGAUGAAUUUUUUAUCCUCCAAUCAUAACACCGAGAAAUGAAUUCUUAGUUCAUUCUAAUGUACGAUAAAAAUGUUAUCAUCGUCGUAAGCAUCGUUUGCGAAAUAACCGUGUCAAAUUUGCUACCAAAUUCUAUCCAGUCUUAUGAUUUUCUCUUUUUUUAGGGGCCCACAUAAAGAUGGUACUUCCGCUUGAAGCUUCGCUCCAAUAAGCCGCGAGUAGGAGCUCCGGCCUAGCACUCCUCGACUCUUGUCGAAGCAAUUCUCAAGUAUUAUGCAACAGACUAUAAUACACAUGGAGAUGAAGUUGGUUACGAGGCAGUCAUUAGCAUGAAUCUUCGAUUUUACCAUUACGGGGAGGCGGCGGUGGCAAAGUACUCGGUAACAGCCGCGACGGACCGAGUAUACUCCCGAUGUGAGAAGUUCGUGCCUCCUCGGAUACGUCACGACUCCAAGAGAAAUCAUUAGCCAAGGGCUCGCUGUAUCCAUUCUUCUAUGCUCGGUCUUAUCGAAUUAGUUUUUCGAGCCAACUGUCUGGAACAAAUAAUUUUUUUUUUUACAUCAAGAACGUGCUGCAGAUAAUCGAGUUUUAUGGAUCGAUCUAAAAAAAAAAAAAAAAAGAGAGGAAUUAAAAUGACAACUUCCGCAGGACUAAUUCCGCGGUAAUUUCGAAGGCUUGGGAGCUGCUUCCCCGAACCACGUGAAAGAACGGUACGUGACUUUGACGCUGGCCAGGCACGUGCGAUGAAACAAACGAACAAGAAGAUAAUUGCCAGAGUUCUAUUUCGAGGCGACUCGGAAGACUCGAUAAUACAACUGGCACGUUUAGCGAACGCAGAUGCAUUCUGUCUCCAGUAUUUUCUCUUUUUUCUCACUCAAUCUCAAUGCAAAAUCAACAGUGAUCGAAGAGAGCUCUAUCAAAAUAAUUAUCGUUGCAAAGCAACCCUGAAACGAUUUAAUAAGCGAAACGAAAAGUGCGAGGCUUAUUAUGCUCGCUAUGAAAUAAGGGCUCAGGUAAUAAAGUAAAUACCCUUCAAAUUCGAGCUUAAAACGAAAUUGCUUGUCGAACAUUUACGAUCGACGGUUCUCUCCACGAACGUCAAGCUUUUUAUGCUGCUGCCAUUUAUUUUUCAUACUUCAAGAUGUCAUACCACUUUGGUGCUUAGAAAAACACUGCAAUAUUGAUCGUUUCAUGGGAACCUAGUGGAGUACGAAUAUCGUUUAGAGCGUGCUACGUACGUUCAGGUAAAAAAGUUGACCUCUCCGUUGAAAAUCGACAUAACAAAUGGUUUGUACCUGAAAAAAAUUCGAAACGAAAUGUCAACUCGUUGGUUCAGUUUUUAAAAAUUCUGCAUUUUAAACGAAACUAUGUUUUAAAUGAAAAUCGAAUAAGCUUUUAUAGCUUUUUUGCAUUUCCGAAUGAGCCUCACGGACCAAGAGGCGUUCAAUUUCGAAAAAAAAUUGGAGUUCCAGUUCGUUAUUUCUAUUCUUGAAAUUUUAUAAUUGUACAAUUCAAAUGAUUAUGUUAAAAAACAAUAAAACUAUGAAUCGACAAACGUUACGGGGGAUUGAAAAAUGCACGACCUAAUCGCAGGUAAUCGAUUUAGUAUAUUUUUCAUACUUUCAGUACCAGAAUUACAUCGAUAAAAAAAUAGAAACUUAUUGAAGCACGAUUCGAGAUCGUCGUUACUAAAUUGUACUGCAAUUAUCGUUAUAUAAUUGAAAAUCGAAUACUGGAAGUGUACUUUAUCGGUUCAUCAGAACGACCAAAUGAUGCGUAUUCAAGGGACAUAAAAAAACUGGAAUGACAAAGUUUCGAAUAUUUUGUAUCAUUUUGUGAAAACGACGAUAUAAGGAAUUUUCAAGUGUUCGGUUUUUCUAAUUAAAAAAUCGUACGUAGGAACAAUCCCACGAAAAUUUUAUCAAAUAUGAUUCCAAGUAGGCAUUUUUUAGCUUAAUAUUCCUGAAGAAUCGUAUUUCGGAUAAACUUUGGUUUUGCCUGUGCGAUAACAAUGUUAGUCUUCUUAUCUUAACCGAUAACUUAACGAAUAUUAAAUGUUCAAAAAAAAACAUGAAUUUUUUAUUUUUGGAUGGAGCAAACGUUUAGCGAGGAAACAAUGUUUUUCCCACGUCACGCUCGGGAAAUUCUCCCGAUUAGUCAGAGUCCGAGUUCUUGUUGCCUGUGGAAAAAAAUAAACAUAUUGCAGUUAGAA
This 6744-nucleotide unclassified non-coding RNA is filed under the name Venturia canescens. RNAcentral describes it as "g-protein coupled receptor dmsr-1-like, transcript variant X3". Lineage: Eukaryota; Metazoa; Arthropoda; Insecta; Hymenoptera; Ichneumonidae. The record is from RNAcentral.